AUUGAACGCUGGCGGCAGGCCUAACACAUGCAAGUCGAGCGAGCGGCGGACGGGUGAGUAAUGUCUGGGAAACUGCCUGAUGGAGGGGGAUAACUACUGGAAACGGUAGCUAAUACCGCAUACCAUCAGAUGUGCCCAGAUGGGAUUAGCUAGUAGGUGGGGUAAUGGCUCACCUAGGCGACGAUCCCUAGCUGGUCUGCGAGGAUGACCAGCCACACUGGAACUGAGAAACGGUCCAGACUCCUACGGGAGGCAGCAGUGGGGAAUAUUGCACAAGGGGCUCAGGCCUGAUGCAGCCAGGCCGCGUGUGUGAAGAAGGCUUUGGUGUUGUAAAGCACUUUCAGCGGGGAGGCGUUACCCGCAGAAGAAGCAACGGCUAACUCCGUGCCAGCAGCCGCGGUAAUAC
This 406-nucleotide ribosomal RNA is filed under the name uncultured bacterium. RNAcentral's name for it is "partial 16S ribosomal RNA". It matches the Rfam family "Bacterial small subunit ribosomal RNA", at positions 30 to 526 of the family's 1533-position model. The record is from RNAcentral.